AUUCAGCUGACGAGUCCCAAGUGAGAUGAGACGCGUGUCCUGGAU
RNAcentral lists this non-coding RNA (45 nucleotides) under Schistosoma mattheei. Lineage: Eukaryota; Metazoa; Platyhelminthes; Trematoda; Strigeidida; Schistosomatidae. The record is from RNAcentral.